UCAACCCUCAAGCCUGGCUUGCUGUUGGGUCCCGUUGGGUGCGAAACCCAACGAACCUCAAAGAUAAUGGCAGAGCCCGUGUGGACCUGGAUGCAGCGAGCUUCUUAGCACGCAUCACAGCGAUCCUCCGGCUCGGUCUUAACCGUCAUUUUUCACU
Molecule: unclassified non-coding RNA, 157 nt
Filed under: uncultured Verrucariaceae
Lineage: Eukaryota; Fungi; Ascomycota; Eurotiomycetes; Verrucariales
Description: sequence contains ITS2
Source: RNAcentral